GUCGUAGUGGUUUAAUUAGUAGAACAACAGACUUUUAAUCUGUGGGUGUAAGAUGCAAGCUCUUGCCUACGACU
Molecule: transfer RNA, 74 nt
Filed under: Enterococcus sp. MMGLQ5-1
Lineage: Bacteria; Bacillati; Bacillota; Bacilli; Lactobacillales; Enterococcaceae
Also listed under: 1 other name
Description: tRNA-Lys
Rfam family: tRNA
About the family: Transfer RNA (tRNA) molecules are approximately 80 nucleotides in length. Their secondary structure includes four short double-helical elements and three loops (D, anti-codon, and T loops).
Source: RNAcentral